AGCAGCCGCGGUAAUUCCAGCUCCAAUAGCGUAUAUUAAAGUUGUUGCAGUUAAAAAGCUCGUAGUUGAAUUUCGGGAUCAAAUUGUCGGUCGUGCCUCGGUACGCACUGGUAUUAUUGGUUCCUACCUUCUGAAGAACCGCGAUGUCAUUAAUUUGGUGUCGUGGGGAAUCAGGACUGUUACUUUGAAAAAAUUAGAGUGUUUAAAGCAGGCUUACGCUUGAAUACAUUAGCAUGGAAUAAUGAAAUAGGACGUUUGAUUCUAUUUUGUUGGUUUCUAGGAUUGACGUAAUGAUUAAUAGGGAUAGUUGGGGGCAUUAGUAUUCAAUUGUCAGAGGUGAAAUUCUUGGAUUUAUUGAAGACUAACUACUGCGAAAGCAUUUGCCAAGGAUGUUUUCAUUAAUCAAGAACGAAAGUUAGGGGAUCGAAGACGAUCAGAUACCGUCGUAGUCUUAACCAUAAACUAUGCCGACUAGGGAUCGGAUGAUGUUAAUUUUUUUCAAUGACUCAUUCGGCGCCUU
This 520-nucleotide ribosomal RNA is filed under the name uncultured Glomus. RNAcentral describes it as "SSU rRNA". It matches the Rfam family "Eukaryotic small subunit ribosomal RNA", at positions 569 to 1089 of the family's 1831-position model. The record is from RNAcentral. Lineage: Eukaryota; Fungi; Glomeromycota; Glomeromycetes; Glomerales; Glomeraceae.